RNAcentral lists this ribosomal RNA (429 nucleotides) under Actinomycetes bacterium. RNAcentral describes it as "Actinobacteria bacterium partial 16S ribosomal RNA". It matches the Rfam family "Bacterial small subunit ribosomal RNA", at positions 355 to 776 of the family's 1533-position model. The record is from RNAcentral. Lineage: Bacteria; Bacillati; Actinomycetota; Actinomycetes.
UAGGGAAUCUUCCGCAAAGGGCGAAAGCCUGACGGAGCAACGCCGCGUGAGUGAUGAAGGUCUUCGGAUCGUAAAACUCUGUUAUUAGGGAAGAACAAAUGUGUAAGUAACUAUGCACGUCUUGACGGUACCUAAUCAGAAAGCCACGGCUAACUACGUGCCAGCAGCCGCGGUAAUACGUAGGUGGCAAGCGUUAUCCGGAAUUAUUGGGCGUAAAGCGCGCGUAGGCGGUUUUUUAAGUCUGAUGUGAAAGCCCACGGCUCAACCGUGGAGGGUCAUUGGAAACUGGAAAACGUGAGUGCAGAAGAGGAAAGUGGAAUUCCAUGUGUAGCGGUGAAAUGCGCAGAGAUAUGGAGGAACACCAGUGGCGAAGGCGACUUUCUGGUCUGUAACUGACGCUGAUGUGCGAAAGCGUGGGGAUCAAACAGG